UUGCAUGAGCGUUCUUUCUCCAGCGGCUGACAGCAUCCCGUCGUCCUCACGCCGCUGCUGCUCUCCACACAUUUCCACAAGGUCAGUCUUCAAACUUCUUCUUUUGCCAAAUCAUUUCAACUUGGUUCGCCAACUUUUAACACGAAUUCAUGUUUUCGGCGUGCCAAUCAAACUAGCUAGCAUGCGUACGAACGUUUGCUUGAAUGAAGUUAAAUAACGUCAAGUGCCUGCUAAAAUGACACAAAAGCAUUUAUUUGACUUGUAUGGCAACAAAUAAAUGCAUUGCACUUGAUCAUGAAAGUAUUGGCUCCAACCCUUUCCAACAUCUAGAGAAGAGCGCCGUUUGGUGGGAGGUAGGUUGCCGUAUUCUCAAUUAAACAGUUCAUCAACUAUACCUAUAUGUAUGUGUGUAUUAAUAAUUGUCUAAUUUCUGUCCACAGGCUUCCAUCUCAAACGGCCAAAUUGAUUCUAAAAUAUCUACUUCAAAGAGACUUUUUGUAUUUUUUACAGCAUAUUUGAGACUUUAGUUGCAGCUCUACUGUAUAGACAUGGUUACCAAAUGUCAUGUUGCUAAUUGUGUUACUGUGUCUUUCUUUCUUGUUAAGCGGCCCAUUGUGUCCAGCUCAAUUUCUAAAAAGCAUUCUGCUUUUUAGAAAUUCUGGCCUAAGUUUGCCAUUUUCCUCCUGCAUGCUCAUCUGCGUUAAAGACAAUCUUCUGAAGGAGGUUAAGGACACCUGAGAUGACUUUCAACAACCAAUCCUGACAUUCUGCUUUUGUGUGCAGUCUUGACAUCCUUUUGACUUCAUCCAGCGCUGCGUGAGUAACAAGAUUGUGUACGAGGCUGACCGUCACCAAAUCCGCUGGGUUUGACAUGCUGCAAAACAAAAUGAUCGCCAUGAACAUUUUUAAACAUGUCUCUUCCUCAGUUCCACCAAAGCUUCCGUCAAUCACUUGCUUACUUACUCUGCAUGCAGGGUGGCUUCCAGAACAAGCUCCAUCGUGGAGGAGAAGCACCCUGGCCCCCAAGAUCCUGCACUUGCUGGGGAAAACAGUUCUACAUGACUGUGCAGGUGGUCCUCAAUGCUGUUAAAACUUGAAAAUAAACUCACUAAUUAGCAGUUUGACUGUCCAUCUUGUGUUCAGUUUUCUGUGUUCUUGUUCUUCCCGAGCCUGAGGAACAUGUUCAACUUCCUGUGAGUGCUCGUUGUCGCAGGAAAAACUUGGUCUCAAAAACAUAAUUUCACAAAACUCAUUGGGUUAAUGUUUGACUCUGUUUCUUCGGGGACGUCACGACACAUCUGUCGCCGUGCUCGUCACGCUGGCUAUGGUGACUGUCAUCAGCAACAAGGAAACUGUCAUUCCGGCUUCAGUGGGUUCAAGUGCAACUUUUCUAAUCUGCAAGAAAUUAAUGCAAAUUACAACGAAAGUGUUGAUUGUUGAUCUCUCUCUUUUCUUACUCUGCAUGUUGUCGCCUCUUCCUCAGCUGGAUGACCACAUCAGGUUCUGAAGCCAAACUGUGGAGCAGCCUGAGAAGGCCACUCUGUGAAUACAGGUCACAAUGUUGAUCAAAUGUUCUUCCCUUCAUGCUCAGCUUCCUGUGAAUGCAGCCAUGUGAGCACUUGGACGAAGUCCCAGGCAGCAACAAGUCGCAGCCUCUUCAUUGCUGGCAAUCUUCUGAAGGAGGGUAAGGACACCUGAGAUGACUUGCAGCAACCAGUCCUGACAUCCUGCUUUUUGUGUGCAGUCUUGACAGCCUCUGACGUCAUCCAGAGCUGCGAGAGGAACAAGGGUGGCUUGCAAUUCAGGCCUUCCACUCAUCCUGGUGCUUGCCUCUUCAAAAGCUGAAGGACAGUAAACCAGAAGGUGAUGAAAGAAGUGGGGGAUGAAUUUGAGGAGCAGAAAUUUGUGCUGCCGGCUGACGAACAUGUACAACCUCCUGGAGGUCACGAGACCUUGGUCAACAUGCUCGUCACGCUGGCUAUGGUGACUGUCAUCAACAACGAGGAAACCGUCAUGCUGGCCUGGAAGACCACAUCAGAAGGUGCUGAAGCCAAACCGUGGAGCAGCCAGAGAGCUUCCUGUGAAUGCAGCCAUGUGAGCACUUGGACGAAGUCCCAGGCAGCAACAAGUCACAUCCUCUUCAUUGCUGUCUUGACGGCCUCUUGUUGACGUCGUGCAGAGCUGUGAGAGGAACAAGAUGUACGAGGCUCGCCUGUCGCCACGUUUGCUGGGUUUGACACGCUGCAAAACAAAGAUUGCCUUAAACAUUUUAACAUCUUUCUCUUCUGCAGUUUGAAGAGGGCUCACCUGUUUGUUUUUUUGACUCUGCGUGCAGGGCGGCUUCCAGAACAAGAGCCAUCAUGGAGAAGCACCCUGGCCCCCCCAAGAUCCUGCACCUGCUGGGCAAAAGCAAGUUGUAAAUGAAUGUGCAGAAGGUCCUAAAUGCUGUUGAGACUUGAUUAGCAGUGUGACUGGUCCAUCUUGUUUAGUUUUGUCAAAUGUUUGUUCUUCCAGAGACUGAGGAACAUGUUCAACUUCCUGGAACUCACAACACGCUGACUGUGAUGACGGUCAUCAGCAACGAGGAAAGUCAUUCCACCUUUAGUGGACUCGGGUGAAACAUUUUUAAUGAUCUGCAGGGGAAAUUAAUGCCAAUUUACAAGUAUUUAUUGUUGUUCUUGCGCUGCAUGUCUUCCUCAGCUGGAAGACCACAUCAGAAGGUGCUGAAGCCAAACUGUGGAGUGGCCAGAGAGUUUGGGGACAAGUUUGACGCCAUGUGAGCACUUGGAUGAAGUCCCAGGCAGCAACAAGUCACAUCUUCAUUGCUGGUACUCUUCUGAAGGAGGGUAAGGGACACCUGAGAUGACUGGCAGCAACCACUCCUCACAUGUCUUGACAGCCAUCCAGAGCAGCGAGAAGAACAAGAUGCACGAGGGGUCCUCAAUGAGAACAAAGUGGUGGUGGGGGAAAUGGCAUCAUGAUCAACUUCCUGUCCACCAUGCUGAGAUGUAAGCUGCAAACCGACUCUGCAUGCAGGCUGGCUUCCGGUCCAGGCCUUCCUCUCAUUCUGGCACCCUCCUCUUCCUCAGCUGAAGGACAUCAUCCAGAAGGGUAAGGAACAUGUUCAGCUUCCUGCAAGGCCUCAGUCGCUGAAAAAAACAAGUUGCACAUCCUUUCCUUGGUCACGACACACCGGUCCACGCUCUCCUCACGAUGACCGGUGACGAUCAACAGCAGUCAGUGACUGCCUGGUGAAGUGGACCUGUCAUCAAACACUGAAGUUGAAGCUUUUAACGGCUGAGGAACAUGUUCAGCUUCCUGCAAGGGCUCAGUCGCACAUCCUUUCCUUGAAACACCGGUCCACGCUCUCCUCACGAUGACCAGUGACGAUCAACAGCGACGAGGAAACUGUCAGUGACUGCCUGGUGAAGUGGACCUGUCAUCCAACACUGAAGUUGAAGCUUUUAACGGCUGAGGAACAUGUUCAGCUUCCUGCAAGGGCGCAGUCGCACAUCCUUUCCUUGAAACACCGGUCCACGCUCUCCUCACGAUGACCAGUGACGAGGAAACUGUCAGUGACUGCCUGGUGAAGUGGACCUGUCAUCCAACACUGACGUUGAAGCUUUUAACGGUGCUGGGGAACAUGGUCAGUGUCCUGGCAAUGCAGCUGUACAAGCACUUGGACAGUCCCAGAAAACAAAUUUCACACCCUUUUCAUCACUGGUCCGCACGCUGGUCUGCAAUCGCUUCCCACUGGCCGACGACUUCACCAGGCAGUGACAAGAAGACUAUCAUCAUCCAACAUGUAAG
Molecule: long non-coding RNA, 3810 nt
Organism: Phycodurus eques (leafy seadragon)
Lineage: Eukaryota; Metazoa; Chordata; Actinopteri; Syngnathiformes; Syngnathidae
Exons: 18
Source: RefSeq, a predicted model, not a curated record